GACAAAACCUAUCUAACAAGGUAAUACAGCAAGACAGAGGUGGGGGACAUUAUUUGCAGGCAGCAUAUUUUGAAGGCUGAAAGAUACAUCCAGCAGCUGUAAGCACUGUUGGCAGCAAAGGGAAUGGCCACUGUCAAACAAGAAACAACCACCAGAUAAAAGGCCAGCCUGAAGAGAAUGGUCUGAAUUUUAAAACAGGGAUCCUGCUUCCUGGACGUGCAGAUUUAUGUCUACUGAUUGACUAGCUAGUUAACAUCUCUGGAGAACUGGCAAUACAUUGAUUACCUGCAGUCUACAAAAGACUUUUGAAGUGAAAACAAAGGCAGAGAAGAAAAGAAAGCAGUCUUCCCCCAUAAGAUUCCUUCACCCUUCACACAGCAUUGCCUGAAUUUUUCUUUUUCGAUUGAUAUUUAAAGAGCGAAGAAAUGACUGCAAUGAAGAGUCACACACACAAAAUAUUUCUAGGCUGAGAAACAUACUGUGAAGCACACCAUAGCCUGCUGUAUCUUGGAUAAACCAAGUGUGGGGCAGAGGUAUCAACAGCAGUAUACAAACACUUGUCAUUCUGCCACACAUUGGGAUAGGGUCCCUAAGCAUCUCUAGAUAAAAAAAAGCUGUCAUUGUUGAGGAAACUGAAUUUAUAGUUCUUUUCUAGAGGCCAGAAAGUGCUCACAAGAGGUACUUCAAUCAAAAAUUAGACAGUCUUGUGAGGACAUACAAAGCGGAGCUGAUGAAAGCAGAAACCAUUACAGGUAGCUUGACAAUGCUUUUCAAAAUGAAUUAUUGUAUACUUCCUUGGCAGUCAAUGUACAGCAUAUCAAAACUGUGAUACAAUUGUUCCCAAGACUUACAUCUUCUUAUGCCCAAUGGAA
Anolis carolinensis (green anole) is the source of this 872-nucleotide long non-coding RNA. RefSeq lists it as uncharacterized. Lineage: Eukaryota; Metazoa; Chordata; Lepidosauria; Squamata; Anolidae. The transcript has 2 exons. The record is from RefSeq and is a predicted model, not a curated record.